RNAcentral lists this ribosomal RNA (401 nucleotides) under uncultured eukaryote. RNAcentral describes it as "SSU rRNA". It matches the Rfam family "Eukaryotic small subunit ribosomal RNA", at positions 592 to 994 of the family's 1831-position model. The record is from RNAcentral.
CAAUAGCGUAUAUUAAAGUUGUUGCGGUUAAAAGCUCGUAGUUGGAUUUCUGUCGAAGACGGCCGGUCCGCUCUAUGAGCGUGUAUCUGGUUCGGCUUUGGCAUCCUCGUGGGGAACGUAACUGUGCUUGAUUGCAUGGUACGGUAUUCACGACUUUUACUUUGAGGAAAUUAGAGUGUUCACGGCAGGCAAGCGCCUUGAAUACAUUAGCAUGGAAUAAUAAUAUAGGACUUUGGUUUUAUUUUGUUGGUUUCUAGAACUAAAGUAAUGAUUAAUAGGGAUAAUUGGGGCAGGUUGUUAUUAAUCGACGGUCAGAGGUGGAAUUCUUGGAUUGCGUUACGACAAACUACUGCGAAAGCAUUUGCCAAGGAUGUUUUCAUUGAUCAAGAACGAAAGUAUGG